CUCAUAAACUCUUUAAUUUAAUUUUACGAAACGAUUCAAUUAAAAAAAAUCGAGUCAAAACCGAAAUUUUUCGACCCCGACAAAAAACAAAACAUUACAAUCGAGUACAAAAGCCUUUACAAAAGUCAUAGAGCAUAUGAGAUUUGACUUAAGAAUGCUAUCCAAGAUCAAACAACACUUCUGAAUUAAUUGGAACCUGCACAUAGACCAAAUAUCUGCCAUCAAGCUUAAUGAUGCUUUAAAAGUUUCCAAUAAUAAUUUAUAUAUUACAUUAGUCAAAAACAUAUUAGUUAAUAACAUGAACUUAACGUUAAAGCAUCAUAACAUUUCAUCAAUAUCCAUCAUUUCAUUAUUAAGCAAAUCUCAUCAAUAUCAUGAAGUCAACGCUCAUUUGCAAUAUCAUAUUCCAUUUCAUAUUUAAGUAACAUUUACAACAUUAAACAUCAUUAGAGCAUAGUCUCUAUUAAUCAAACAUGAAAAUUUUGUCUAGAUACAAAGAUAAAUCUAGACACACCAUAUAGAAUAACAAAAAUUUCAUGCGUUUCAACCAAACACAUUACAAAAAUAUACAAAGCACAACAAUGUACCCUCUAAACACACCAAAAUAUACAUAAGUCUCGAUCAAUAUAUUCUCCAAACAUACUAACUCUUGGGUACAUUAAACAAACCCUACAAUACACACAAGAUUAAAAAGCUUAAUAUCUUAUGACAUGUCAACUAUAUCCGAACACAUUUCAAAAUUGUUUAAACAAUUAAAACAUAUUUAAUAAUUUCAUUAAGCAUCUUAACCAAUUCUAUUCAACCAAAAAUCAUCUUAAUCAUAUAGUUUAUUCAACAACCUAAGCAUUCAGCUUAAGAUAAUACAAAGUAAAAUAAAAAAUUAAAGAGUAAAAACCGAAACUGUCACGCUUCUCCUACUUUCUCAUUCCCAUAAGCUUUAGAGGCCUCGCCAACCUCCUUAGCUUCAAUUCAUACCAAAACAAUAAAAAUAAGUUUGUAAAACAUUAAUCAACAAUUAAAACACUAAAGUUAUUAAGAUGAUGCAAUAUGAAGAAAAACCGAGAGGCUCAUGUCGCUUCCAAAAAUCUCAUAAGAGAAUUAUUUUAUACUUAACCUAACCUUGCUAAAUUUGAUUUCUAUUGGUUUAACUAUAAUCCAAAGACCAAAACUCACCUAGAAAUUAUCAAGAACCUAACUCUUCUCAUUUUCUCUCUGUAGAACUCAUUAAUGGUAACUCACUAAAGCUUGACUAGAACUCUAAUUGAAUUAGAAAUUCUUUGUUCUAAUAACAUUCGAAUCUCAAAAACACUUUGAAUUUAAUUUGAAAACUACACAAAAACACAAAAUCAAAGUUUUCUCUCUUUAGCUUAAAACUAACCUAACUGACAAGGAAAAGAGAACAUGCUUGAUUUUCUUGAAGAAAUAUUGAUUCCUAGUAGUUUAAAUUAUCUUCAGAACCUCAAAACAUUAAAUCUCAAAUAAAUUUUCAUCAAGAAUCAUUAAAUUCCCAAAACCUCUCCAGAUUGACGUGGAAGUAAUUUUUGAAAGGAGAAAUGUUGAAUCAAGCUUAAAACAUUUGACCAAAUGAAAGAAAUUAUCAAAAUAUUGCUUACCUUGUUGGAAUUGAAAGAUUGAAAUCAAGAAUUGAAGUUGAAAUUGAGAGAAAUUUUGAGUAGAAAAUUUUAAGUAUCGUGAAAAUGAUUUUGGAGUAAUUGUCCCCUCCUCAAUUUUCAAACCUAUGGUCUAAUUGCUAAGAUACCUUUGGCUUAAUAACCUUUUAAACCCCUUAUAUGAACUAAAUCUAUUUUCUCACUAUUUAGAUAUUGACCCUACUAAUUUUACCACUUUUAGAAAUUAGCCUAUAUCUCAAAUAUCUAAUUAUUCUAUACUAACAAAUUAAUGCAAUUCAAUAAUACUAACACUCUAUCUAAUAAACCACAACUAUUUGUAUAUGGGAAGCAGAACUUGAUAGUAGCUUUUCUUUUCUUUUGCUGAUCCAAUCAACUGAUGAGAAAGAGAAAGUGAUGUAAAAAAAAAUUGAAAAACUUUCUUCCAAAUAAUGUAUUUUAAAAUAUACAUUUCAAAAUAUAAAUAAUUUGUGUGUGUGUGUGUGUGUGUUUUUUUUUAAUUUAAUUCACGCAAUUAAAAAGUUUCAAACAACCUGGAUGAAGAAUAGUAGCCUUAUUAGAGUUGAUGGAUGAAAGAAGGUAGCACCAAUAGAUUGAAUGCAUUCCCAUUAGCACUUGACAUUACUCCAAAUUCCCGAACUACGAGACUUGGUAUAAUCUCUCAUACAAUCCAAUGGUGCACCCAUUACCCCUUGGCUCAUGCAGCUCAUCACCAUUACUGCAC
This 2352-nucleotide long non-coding RNA is filed under the name Gossypium barbadense (sea-island cotton). RNAcentral describes it as "long non-coding RNA (GBAR_LNC021132)". Lineage: Eukaryota; Viridiplantae; Streptophyta; Magnoliopsida; Malvales; Malvaceae. The record is from RNAcentral.